CAUUCUCUGGGGUUCACUGGAAGUGUUUUCCUUGUUUCUCACAGUUGCAUCACUUCCUCAGCCUUAGAUAUGAGUCCACAAUAUGACAUAUGAGCAAAACAUCACCAGCCAAACAGGGCCGAGACAGCUCAGCUAAGGCAGCAGUGGCUCUGGAGCACUCUCCAGUCACUCUUGGUGUCUGUAGAUACAACAAGGUCCCACGUGCCUGUUUGAAGCUCCCAGAUGUUGCAGCCGGUGUACCUGGCAUGCUGCAGGGCACUGAAGCAUAGCAAUAGAGGUGUGUGUAUUGUGGAAAAAGGGGUCACACGAUGCGUGUCAGCUGUAUGUCUUGGAAGUUGCUCAUCAGAGCCCCAACAAAAGGUAAGAAGGGCUCCUUGCUGCAGUAAGCACAGCAAAACUGUCAUGGCUUAGCAGGCUGUAGAGCAGAAGAGUGCCUGUGAACCUUUGGGUGACCAGUUUAGGACAGAGGGGUCUGUGAGGAGCUUUUCCUGCUCUGUUCUGGUGAGCCCUAUCUCACCCACCAGGACGGAUCUUACUGGGGAGGAGGGCUGGAAAAGCACAUCUUUGGUUUCAGUGAGCACCUUGUACUGGAGCAGAGAGCUCACCAGAUGCUCUCAAAGUUUCUCAUGGGCACUGAAGACUGUUUAUGUAUAUAAAUGUAUCCAAAUCAAUUCCCUUCCCUUUACUGCCUGAUUUCUUCUAACCUUGGUUAGAUCUUGUUUGAUCUCUUAGUUAGAUUCCCGUUCUCCUUCUCUUUCUCCUAAACUCUUUCCACUUGCAUUCCCUAUCUUUUUCUCCCUCUUUUGCAUUUUGUCUUUCCUACGCAUUCCUAGGUGUUGUUUUGUUUGUUUGUUUGUUUUUGUUUUUUGUUUUGUUUUUAUCUUUCUUUAUUACAGCGAAAUAAGGGGACUUCAGAGUUAGCAAGUCAGAGUGCUGAAAUCUAAUAUUAUUAGCAUGACACCCAUUUACAGCGUCGCUUUGGAGAAAUCCACCUCAUGAAAUGUCUGGGCUUCUUGAUCUGAAGAGCUGAGAUGACGAAUACCAAUUGCAAAGACAGUUGGCCAUAGCAGUUAAUGUUUGUGCAACACUUCACGUAUCUAAGCAUUGUAUCUGCUCUUCACCACAAGAAAGACUUGGAGCUGCUGCCACUGUGACCAAGCCAGUCUCUGAAUGUGAUGAUUAAUGAGCUAAUAGCAGUAUUUUGCUGCUGAAGUUAAUGCUGCUUCCUGAGGGCAACACGCCUGAUGAGAGAACUUGUAGCAGUCCAUACGCUAUAUUGAUUCGAAAUGCCACUGUAUGCUUUAAUUAGCUUUUAACCAUUACAAAGUUGGGCUUCAAAUGAAGAUGGCACAUAUGCUUGUGCGGCAAAUGCCUGCACCAAAAAGGUAAUCGUAAGGCAAAGUUAUCGACC
RNAcentral lists this long non-coding RNA (1411 nucleotides) under Anser brachyrhynchus (Pink-footed goose). RNAcentral describes it as "lncRNA (ENSABRG00000021343.1)". The record is from RNAcentral. Lineage: Eukaryota; Metazoa; Chordata; Aves; Anseriformes; Anatidae.